This 292-nucleotide ribosomal RNA is filed under the name uncultured bacterium. RNAcentral describes it as "partial 16S ribosomal RNA". It matches the Rfam family "Bacterial small subunit ribosomal RNA", at positions 505 to 796 of the family's 1533-position model. The record is from RNAcentral.
GUGUCAGCAGCCGCGGUAAUACGGAGGAUGCGAGCGUUAUCCGGAUUCAUUGGGUUUAAAGGGUGCGUAGGCGGACUAAUAAGUCAGUGGUGAAAUCCUGCAGCUUAACUGCAGAACUGCCAUUGAUACUGUUAGUCUUGAGUUUGGUUAAGGUAGGCGGAAUGUGUAAUGUAGCGGUGAAAUGCUUAGAUAUUACACAGAACACCAAUUGCGUAGGCAGCUUACUGGACCGACACUGACGCUGAGGCACGAAAGCGUGGGGAUCGAACAGGAUUAGAAACCCCGGUAGUCC